Molecule: ribosomal RNA, 279 nt
Filed under: uncultured bacterium
Lineage: Bacteria
Description: partial 16S ribosomal RNA
Rfam family: Bacterial small subunit ribosomal RNA
Source: RNAcentral
AGAUUAGGUAGUUGGUGGGAUAAAAGCUUACCAAGCCGACGAUCUGUAGCUGGUCUGAGAGGACGAUCAGCCACACUGGGACUGAGACACGGCCCAGACUCCUACGGGAGGCAGCAGUGGGGAAUUUUGGACAAUGGGCGCAAGCCUGAUCCAGCAAUGCCGCGUGCAGGAUGAAGGCCUUCGGGUUGUAAACUGCUUUUGUACGGAACGAAAAGCCCUGAGUUAAUACCCUGGGGUCAUGACGGUACCGUAAGAAUAAGCACCGGCUAACUACGUGCC